AUGUGCUCUCGCUUCACAGCACCGGGAAAUUGCCUCUGCCUGGCUGAGCAUCCCCAGCCACGUGCCGGAGGGGCUGGUGGCGCUCGAUGGCACCGCGAUGCCUGGUGUCCAGAGCCAGGACGGGCUCCUGGCACCGCAGCUCUUUCCCCGUGGUGCUCCUGGCAUCGGGGUGCAGCACCUCGCCGGGUGCCCAGCACCUUUCCCAGCCCCACAGCCUGCUUUGAUCCCUCUCCUCUGGGCACAGCACCGUCCCACGUCCCCCUCCAGUGCUGCCCGGGCUGGGGGCUUCAGGGGAGCCGUGUCUGGGGGCCGGGAGCUAAUCCCCUCUGGAAUGCCCCAGGCUGGGGCAGAGGGGCCCCCGCCCGCCUGGGCGCCGGCAGCGUUGGGUUUCAGGGCAGCUGCCGCGCCGGAGCAGCGACAGGGACAGAUGGCUCAGGGCUGGCCCCGCUUGGGCUGCAGCUCCCGGGGUUUUUGGCCAUGCCCUGGCCGUGGGUGCCACCAUCCCUGCGGGCAGCGGGGUGGGAAGAAUCCUUCCCCUGGGCCGUGCUGGUGGCUCGGUGCCCCGCGGUGAUGGGUGGCAGGGUGGCACCUCCCCGGCACAGGCUGGGCGCACCUCGGGGGCUCGGGGAAGUAUUUGCAUCUGUUGCGAGGUGUCAGCACGGCCCUGAGGCUUCGGCUCAAGUGGUGGUGGCCCCGUGGGCUGGGUGGUGUUGGGAACGGGUGUUGGAGCCUGCCUCGGGGCUGUCCUGCGGGAUGUGGGAUGUGCAGGAUCGGGCCAAGGGAUGGGGCCGGCUUCCUGCGGCACAAAAUACCCGGAAAGGCUGCGGGAGGGCUGGGGCUGGCCGUGUCCUGCCGUGGGGUGGCCAACGCAGCCUGAGCCCAUCCGGGGAGCGCCCGGAGCUCCCCACAAGCUGCAGAGCCCCCGGAGUGGGUGCUGGGAGCCGUGCGCCCAUGGGUGGAGGGGUUCCUGGCGGUGCCUCCCCGCGCAGCCCGGGGCUGUCCCCUGGGAUGGUUUGGCCGCGGUGCGGAGGAGCGGCGCCGGGCGGUGUUUGCACAGCCCAUACUUUGCCCGUCUCCGAAGAUUGCAGAGAGCUCUGCAAACACGGCCGAGCUCCCUGCCUGACAGCACCCCGGGGUGAGAGCCGCGUCCCAAGGCAGCUCCUUGGCUCACCGGGUCCCCGUGCAGCCGGCGGGGACAGGGGUGCCACUCCUGGGGAGACGCAGCGACCCCUCCUGCUGCUUGGGGAUCGGGGCUGCGAUCCCCAGGGGUGCAUUUCCUGA
RNAcentral lists this long non-coding RNA (1281 nucleotides) under Anas platyrhynchos platyrhynchos (common mallard). RNAcentral describes it as "lncRNA (ENSAPLG00000029057.1)". Lineage: Eukaryota; Metazoa; Chordata; Aves; Anseriformes; Anatidae. The record is from RNAcentral.